GAAGGUAUAGCUCAAGUGGUAUAGAGCACAUGCUUAGCAUGCAUAAGGUCCUGGGUUCAAUCCCCAGUACCUCCU
Molecule: transfer RNA, 75 nt
Organism: Camelus ferus (Wild Bactrian camel)
Lineage: Eukaryota; Metazoa; Chordata; Mammalia; Artiodactyla; Camelidae
Rfam family: tRNA
About the family: Transfer RNA (tRNA) molecules are approximately 80 nucleotides in length.
Source: Rfam